Molecule: transfer RNA, 73 nt
Filed under: bacterium TMED181
Lineage: Bacteria
Also listed under: 1 other name
Description: tRNA-Ala
Rfam family: tRNA
About the family: Transfer RNA (tRNA) molecules are approximately 80 nucleotides in length. Their secondary structure includes four short double-helical elements and three loops (D, anti-codon, and T loops).
Source: RNAcentral
GGGGAUGUAGCUCAGCUGGGAGAGCGCCUGCUUUGCAAGCAGGGGGUCAGGGGUUCGAGCCCCCUCAUCUCCA